Molecule: ribosomal RNA, 305 nt
Filed under: uncultured bacterium
Lineage: Bacteria
Description: bacterial SSU rRNA
Rfam family: Bacterial small subunit ribosomal RNA
Source: RNAcentral
UCUCCUACGGGACGCAGCAGUGGGGAAUAUUGGGCAAUGGGCGCAAGCCUGACCCAGCAACGCCGCGUGAAGGAAGAAGGCUUUCGGGUUGUAAACUUCUUUUAUUGAGGACGAAACAAAUGACGGUACUCAAUGAAUAAGCCACGGCUAACUACGUGCCAGCAGCCGCGGUAAUACGUAGGUGGCAAGCGUUAUCCGGAUUUACUGGGUGUAAAGGGCGUGCAGCCGGAGAGACAAGUCAGAUGUGAAAUCCACGGGCUCAACCCGUGAACUGCAUUUGAAACUGUUUCCCUUGAGUGUCGGAG